GACGAACGCUGGCGGCGUGCUUAACACAUGCAAGUCGAACGAAGUGGCGAACGGGUGGGUAACGCGUAAUCAACCUGCCCUUCAGAGGGGGACAACAGUUGGAAACGACUGCUAAUACCGCAUACUGAAGGAGGGGAUUGCGUCUGAUUAGCUAGUUGGAGGGGUAACGGCCCACCAAGGCGAUGAUCAGUAGCCGGUCGGAGAGGAUGAACGGCUACAUUGGGACUGAGACACGGCCCAGACUCCUACGUGAGGCAGCAGUGGGGAAGCGUCCGCAAUGGACGAAAGUCUGACGGAGCAACGCCGCGUUAGUGAUGACGGCCUUCGGGUUGUAAAGCUCUGUUAAUCGGGACGCGGUACCGGAAUAGAAAGCCACGGCUAACUACGUGCCAGCAGCCGCGGUAAUUC
This 408-nucleotide ribosomal RNA is filed under the name uncultured bacterium. RNAcentral describes it as "partial 16S ribosomal RNA". It matches the Rfam family "Bacterial small subunit ribosomal RNA", at positions 28 to 526 of the family's 1533-position model. The record is from RNAcentral.